UACGUAGGGUGCGAGCGUUGUCCGGAAUUAUUGGGCGUAAAGAGCUCGUAGGCGGCCUGUCGCGUCGGAUGUGAAAGCCCGGGGCUCAACCCCGGGUCUGCAUUCGAUACGGGCAGGCUGGAGUGUGGUAGGGGAGAUCGGAAUUCCUGGUGUAGCGGUGAAAUGCGCAGAUAUCAGGAGGAACACCGGUGGCGAAGGCGGGUCUCUGGGCAGUAACUGACGCUGAGGAGCGAAAGCGUGGGGAGCGAACAGG
This 253-nucleotide ribosomal RNA is filed under the name uncultured bacterium. RNAcentral's name for it is "partial 16S ribosomal RNA". It matches the Rfam family "Bacterial small subunit ribosomal RNA", at positions 524 to 776 of the family's 1533-position model. The record is from RNAcentral.